UACGAAGGGGGCUAGCGUUGUUCGGAUUUACUGGGCGUAAAGCGCGUGUAGGCGGGUCGUUAAGUUGGGGGUGAAAUCCCGGAGCUCAACUCCGGAACUGCCCUCAAAACUGGCGACCUGGACCCAAGUAGAGGCAAGUGGAAUUGCGAGUGUAGAGGUGAAAUUCGUAGAUAUUCGCAGGAACACCAGUGGCGAAGGCGACUUGCUGGACUUGUGGUGACGAUGAGACGCGAAAGCGUGGGGAGCAAACAGG
Molecule: ribosomal RNA, 253 nt
Filed under: uncultured bacterium
Lineage: Bacteria
Description: partial 16S ribosomal RNA
Rfam family: Bacterial small subunit ribosomal RNA
Source: RNAcentral